UCAGCACACCAGUGAAAUAGCCCUAACACAAAAUGGAGCAGAUAUCAGGCACGAUAAUCAGCCCAAAACAUCAAGCUAUGCCACACCCACACGGGCCUCAGCAGUGAUAAACAUUAAGCAAUAAGCGACACUUAAUCUAAGCUUGACUUAGUGAUGAUUAAUUAGGGCCGGUAAACCUCGUGCCAGCCACCGCGGUUAUACGAGGGGCCCAAGACAGCAGACUCCGGCGUAAAUCGUGGCUAGACUAUAAACCAAUGCACUAAGAACUAAACAAUAGUCCAAACGUAAAAAACGGACUAAAUGAAACCAAGCACUCUUAACAUACGGUAAUUUGACCCACGAAAACUAAGAAACAAACUAGGAUUAGAUACCCUACUAUGCUUAGUCGUUAAUAUGACACCAAAAUACACACGUGUCCGCCAGAAAACUACGAGCGAAAAGCUUAAAACUCAAAGGACUUGGCGGUGCUCUAUAUCAACUUAGAGGAGCCUGUCCUAUAAUCGAUAAUCCACGCUAAACCUCACCAAUACUUGCCAAAACAGCCUAUAUACCGCCGUCGCCAACUUACCUCAUGAGAGAAAAACAGUAAGUAUAAAAGUUUAAAAACUAAAACGUCAGGUCAAGGUGUAGCUUAUGAAUUGGAAGAGAUGGGCUACAUUUUUUAUACUAAAACCACGGCAUGAUCUCAUGAAACUGGGGUCUGAAGAAGGAUUUAACAGUAAAAACAGCAAGAAAACUGUCUUUAAAUAUG
RNAcentral lists this ribosomal RNA (751 nucleotides) under Sceloporus siniferus. Its description in RNAcentral is "partial 12S ribosomal RNA". It matches the Rfam family "Bacterial small subunit ribosomal RNA", at positions 260 to 1370 of the family's 1533-position model. Lineage: Eukaryota; Metazoa; Chordata; Lepidosauria; Squamata; Phrynosomatidae. The record is from RNAcentral.